GUUAAGCGACUAAGCGUACACGGUGGAUGCCCUGGCAGUCAGAGGCGAUGAAGGACGUGCUAAUCUGCGAUAAGCGUCGGUAAGGUGAUAUGAACCGUUAUAACCGGCGAUUUCCGAAUGGGGAAACCCAGUGUGUUUCGACACACUAUCAUUAACUGAAUCCAUAGGUUAAUGAGGCGAACCGGGGGAACUGAAACAUCUAAGUACCCCGAGGAAAAGAAAUCAACCGAGAUUCCCCCAGUAGCGGCGAGCGAACGGGGAGCAGCCCAGAGCCUGAAUCAGUGUGUGUGUUAGUGGAAGCGUCUGGAAAGGCGCGCGAUACAGGGUGACAGCCCCGUACACAAAAAUGCACAUGCUGUGAGCUCGAUGAGUAGGGCGGGACACGUGGUAUCCUGUCUGAAUAUGGGGGGACCAUCCUCCAAGGCUAAAUACUCCUGACUGACCGAUAGUGAACCAGUACCGUGAGGGAAAGGCGAAAAGAACCCCGGCGAGGGGAGUGAAAAAGAACCUGAAACCGUGUACGUACAAGCAGUGGGAGCACAGAGCAAUCUGUGUGACUGCGUACCUUUUGUAUAAUGGGUCAGCGACUUAUAUUCUGUAGCAAGGUUAACCGAAUAGGGGAGCCGAAGGGAAACCGAGUCUUAACUGGGCGUUAAGUUGCAGGGUAUAGACCCGAAACCCGGUGAUCUAGCCAUGGGCAGGUUGAAGGUUGGGUAACACUAACUGGAGGACCGAACCGACUAAUGUUGAAAAAUUAGCGGAUGACUUGUGGCUGGGGGUGAAAGGCCAAUCAAACCGGGAGAUAGCUGGUUCUCCCCGAAAGCUAUUUAGGUAGCGCCUCGUGAAUUCAUCUCCGGGGGUAGAGCACUGUUUCGGCAAGGGGGUCAUCCCGACUUACCAACCCGAUGCAAACUGCGAAUACCGGAGAAUGUUAUCACGGGAGACACACGGCGGGUGCUAACGUCCGUCGUGAAGAGGGAAACAACCCAGACCGCCAGCUAAGGUCCCAAAGUCAUGGUUAAGUGGGAAACGAUGUGGGAAGGCCCAGACAGCCAGGAUGUUGGCUUAGAAGCAGCCAUCAUUUAAAGAAAGCGUAAUAGCUCACUGGUCGAGUCGGCCUGCGCGGAAGAUGUAACGGGGCUAAACCAUGCACCGAAGCUGCGGCAGCGACGCUUAUGCGUUGUUGGGUA
RNAcentral lists this ribosomal RNA (1190 nucleotides) under Escherichia coli. RNAcentral's name for it is "partial 23S ribosomal RNA". It matches the Rfam family "Bacterial large subunit ribosomal RNA", at positions 1 to 1230 of the family's 2925-position model. Lineage: Bacteria; Pseudomonadati; Pseudomonadota; Gammaproteobacteria; Enterobacterales; Enterobacteriaceae. The record is from RNAcentral.